CCUACGGGAGGCUGCAGUGGGGAAUAUUGGACAAUGGGCGAAAGCCUGAUCCAGCCAUGCCGCGUGUGUGAAGAAGGCCUUCGGGUUGUAAAGCACUUUCAGUGGGGAAGAAAGCCUUGGGGCUAAUACCCUCGAGGAAGGACAUCACCCACAGAAGAAGCACCGGCUAACUCCGUGCCAGCAGCCGCGGUAAUACGGAGGGUGCGAGCGUUAAUCGGAAUUACUGGGCGUAAAGCGCGCGUAGGCGGUCUGAUAAGCCGGUUGUGAAAGCCCCGGGCUCAACCUGGGAACGGCAUCCGGAACUGUCAGGCUAGAGUGCAGGAGAGGAAGGUAGAAUUCCCGGUGUAGCGGUGAAAUGCGUAGAGAUCGGGAGGAAUACCAGUGGCAAAGGCGGCCUUCUGGACUGACACUGACGCUGAGGUGCGAAAGCGUGGGUAGCAAACAGGAUUAGAUACCCUAGUAGUC
Molecule: ribosomal RNA, 465 nt
Filed under: Vreelandella stevensii
Lineage: Bacteria; Pseudomonadati; Pseudomonadota; Gammaproteobacteria; Oceanospirillales; Halomonadaceae
Description: partial 16S ribosomal RNA
Rfam family: Bacterial small subunit ribosomal RNA
Source: RNAcentral